Molecule: ribosomal RNA, 253 nt
Filed under: uncultured bacterium
Lineage: Bacteria
Description: partial 16S ribosomal RNA
Rfam family: Bacterial small subunit ribosomal RNA
Source: RNAcentral
UACGUAGGUGGCAAGCGUUGUUCGGAAUUAUUGGGCGUAAAGGGCGCGUAGGCGGUCUUGUAAGUCAGCUGUGAAAGCCCGGGGCUCAACCCCGGAGGGUCGGCUGAUACUGCAGGACUGGAGUACGGAAGAGGUAGCUGGAAUUCCCGGUGUAGCGGUGAAAUGCGUAGAUAUCGGGAGGAAUACCGGUGGCGAAGGCGGCAUCCUGGACCGACAUUGACGCUGAUGAGCGAAAGCUAGGGGAGCAAACGGG